CCUACGCGUGGCAGCAGUGGGGAAUAUUGCACAAUGGGGGGAACCCUGAUGCAGCAACGCCGCGUGAGUGAAGAAGUAUUUCGGUAUGUAAAGCUCUAUCAGCAGGGAAGACGAUGACGUUACCUGACUAAGAAGCCCCGGCUAACUACGUGCCAGCAGCCGCGGUAAUACGGAGGGGUCAAGCGUUAUCCGGAUUUACUGGGUGUAAAGGGAGCGUAGACGGCAGGGCAAGUCUGGAGUGAAAGCCCGGGGCGCAACCCCGGGACUGCUUUGGAAACUGCCAUGCUAGAGUGCUGGAGAGGUAAGUGGAAUUCCUAGUGUAGCGGUGAAAUGCGUAGAUAUUAGGAGGAACACCAGUGGCGAAGGCGGCUUACUGGACAGUAACUGACGUUGAGGCUCGAAAGCGUGGGGAGCAAACAGGAUUAGAUACCCUGGUAGUC
Molecule: ribosomal RNA, 440 nt
Filed under: uncultured bacterium
Lineage: Bacteria
Description: partial 16S ribosomal RNA
Rfam family: Bacterial small subunit ribosomal RNA
Source: RNAcentral